Molecule: long non-coding RNA, 461 nt
Filed under: Equus asinus (donkey)
Lineage: Eukaryota; Metazoa; Chordata; Mammalia; Perissodactyla; Equidae
Description: lncRNA (ENSEASG00005031548.1)
Source: RNAcentral
AGAGCCCAGGGAGGCCCUUGAGAUGGGGGUCCAUUUGGCCACCCGUGAGAUCUGCCCUUAAGGCCACACACACACGGCCUCCGCGGGACCCACUGAAGCCUGUUCUCCCACUUUUUCUUCUUCUGUCCUCACUUCCUAUAAGAGACUCCAUGUUUAAGUUCAUCCUAUCCUGCCUUCAGGCUUCACAAGAACUGGCCCUCUUAUUGCCACAAGUGGAAGAGAUGUUAUUUGCCAGAAGCUCUCUUAGGGAAAGCACAGUUAUGCAUGUGGAAACACAUGUCCAUAAGCUGCUUGGCCCAAGAGUGAAAUCCCAAGGGCACAAUCAACUGCAGAAGCGGAUUUCAAAACUGAUAUAAGACCACAGGUUUUGGCCUUCCGACUCCUGGAAAUAGGAGAUUUGUAUCAUGGAAUGGCUACAAUAAUUAGCACUUCAGAUCUUGGCAUGAGGAAGUCCUAGAGGG